AGUGGCAAACGGGUGAGUAUAAUGUGGGAAUCUGCCUUUUGGUUUGGAAUAACACGAGGAAACUUGUGCUAAUACCGGAUAAGCCCUUACGGGGAAAGUUUUAACGCCGAAAGAUGAGCCUGCACUUGAUUAGCUAGUUGGUAAGGUAAAGGCUUACCAAGGCAACGAUCAAUAGCUGUUCUUAGAGGAAGACCAGCCACAUUGGGACUGAGACACGGCCCAGACUCCUACGGGAGGCAGCAGUGGGGAAUCUUGCACAAUGGGGGAAACCCUGAUGCAGCGAUGCCGCGUGAGUGAAGAAGGCCCUUGGGUUGUAAAACUCUUUCGUCGGGGAAGAAAAUGACUGUACCCGAAUAAGAAGGUCCGGCUAACUUCGUGCCAGCAGCCGCGGUAAUACGAAGGGACCUAGCGUAGUUCGGAAUUACUGGGCUUAAAGAGCUCGUAGGUGGUUAAAAAAGUUGAUGGUGAAAUCCCAAGGCUCAACCUUAGAACUGCCAUCAAAACUUUUUAGCUAGAGUGUGAUAGAGGUAAGUGGAAUUUCUAGUGUAGAGGUGAAAUUCGUAGAUAUUAGAAAGCACACCAAAUGCGAAGGCAACUUACUGGGUCACUACUGACACUGAGGAGCGAAAGCAUGGGUAGCGAAGAGGAUUAGAUACCCUCGUAGUCCAUGCCGUAAACGAUGUGUGCUAGACGUUGGGAAUAUAUUUUUCAGUGUCGCAGCGAAAGCGUUAAGCUCUCCG
This 740-nucleotide ribosomal RNA is filed under the name uncultured Alphaproteobacteria bacterium. RNAcentral describes it as "bacterial SSU rRNA". It matches the Rfam family "Bacterial small subunit ribosomal RNA", at positions 94 to 871 of the family's 1533-position model. The record is from RNAcentral. Lineage: Bacteria; Pseudomonadati; Pseudomonadota; Alphaproteobacteria.